Long non-coding RNA from Venturia canescens, 865 nucleotides. RefSeq lists it as uncharacterized. The record is from RefSeq and is a predicted model, not a curated record. NCBI's taxonomy places the organism in Eukaryota, Metazoa, Arthropoda, Insecta, Hymenoptera, Ichneumonidae. The transcript is spliced from 2 exons.
AUUCCCAAUCGUCUUGCCAUAGCGACUGGAUCUUCGUGAGGACUCUCAUCCGGAUAUAACAAAUCUCCGAUUCUUCUUCCCGGCACAGCUAUGGCACAAGAGUUGUCUUUUGACGACGGACAGCUGAUAUACGAGUUUGCCGGUUUGAGCAUGCGCGCAAUUAUAAUUUUCAAUCGCGUUGAUUGUUUGGCCUCUUCGCUUUCUAGAAAAAUUAAUUUAGAAUCUACACAUUUACGGUAUCGCGGUACGCGACUCGAGACGACAAUAAAAAGCUUAUUUGCUCUCAGAGUCAUUGACAUUUUCCCUGGAAAUCCAUUUAUCUCUGCAUAAUCCAGAAAUUACUUUCAAGUUUAUCGAAAAUGCAUUGUUAUAUAGAGACGUUUAUAUUUUCGUACGUCGAGAUGAUGAAUUGUAGUCGUUUUAUCAUAUAAAAUGAAAAUCAUGUUUGCGCCAUCCGAUGACUUUGCACGAAUUUCGUUUAAUAGUCGAUCGCAACUGUAGAUAGCGGCGGUUUAAUUUCCAAUUCGAAUAUAAAAUUAGCAAGUAAAAGGAAGAAACCAACGAGUUUUUAGAUUAUUUCGACUAAUACGAUAUAUUUCAUCAAAAUACGUGUGAUGCUUGUUUUUAGCACAAGUUACGAAUAAAGAUAUAUUUUUUUUUUUAAUAAUCAAAUUACAAAAAUAGAUUGGGAUUUCGAGGACAUACAUUUUCUUUUCGCUCACCGUCGUCACACAGUUGAGAGAAAAAAUAGGUGUAAAUAAACAGCGCUGAUUUGAAGGAAAUAUAUGUAUUUCUGGCAAUGUUGAUUGCACUUGGAAACUAUAUGUAAAUUACAAUGUCAAUAAAUCCAGCAUCAUUGGACGAA